GUCCUUGGAAGAUGGGUGUCAGAGCUCUGGGACCCUAGUACAUCUCUGUCUGGGGGCACUUACCUGGCUUAAGCAUCAGCACUUUCUCUCAUCUAGCACACUCUUUCUUGGGCACCCAUUGGAGGAAAUCUCUAACUACAGUGCCUCCAGGAAGCUCAUUGGUUAUUCCAGUCUUAGAUAAAAUUGGUACCAGGAUUUGGUUCGAACUAAUGUGGAGGAAAAUAUUUCCUACCGGUCCCUAGUGUCAGAGUGGUGAACCCCUGCAGCCAGCAG
Molecule: long non-coding RNA, 273 nt
Filed under: Macaca mulatta (Rhesus monkey)
Lineage: Eukaryota; Metazoa; Chordata; Mammalia; Primates; Cercopithecidae
Description: lncRNA (ENSMMUG00000049953.1)
Source: RNAcentral